Cydia fagiglandana is the source of this 94-nucleotide long non-coding RNA. RefSeq lists it as uncharacterized. Lineage: Eukaryota; Metazoa; Arthropoda; Insecta; Lepidoptera; Tortricidae. The transcript is spliced from 2 exons. The record is from RefSeq and is a predicted model, not a curated record.
AAAAAAAUACCCCCAAUUUUAUACCAAACAUUCAGAUAUACCUCGACGUUAUCCCCUCAAAACUCAAACUACAUUCAAAAAGUCCUAACUCAAU